CCUACGGGAGGCAGCAGUAGGGAAUUUUCGGCAAUGGGGGGAACCCUGAUCGAGCAACGCCGCGUGAACGAAGAAGUUAUUCGUAAUGUAAAGUUCUUUCAACAGGGAAGAAAGAGAAAUUUGACGGUACCUGAAGAAUAAGCUUCGGCUAACUACGUACCAGCAGCCGCGUUAAUACGAAGGGAGCGAGGGUUAUCCGGAAUUAUGGGGGGAAAGGGGUCUGUAGAUGGCAUAGUAAGUCUUUUGUAAAAAUGCGGGGCUCAACCCAGUAGGGCAAAAGAUACUGGAAAGCUAGAGUAUGACAGAGGCAAGUGGAACUACAGGUGUAGCGGUAAAAUGCGUAAAGAUAUGGAAGAACACCAGUGGCGAAGGCGGCUUGCUGGGUCGAUACUGACAUUGAGGCGCGAAAGCGUGGGGAGCAAACAGGAUUAGAUACCCGAGUAGUC
RNAcentral lists this ribosomal RNA (446 nucleotides) under uncultured bacterium. Its description in RNAcentral is "partial 16S ribosomal RNA". It matches the Rfam family "Bacterial small subunit ribosomal RNA", at positions 338 to 795 of the family's 1533-position model. The record is from RNAcentral.